UCACUGCUAUUGGGAUCCGAUUAAGCCAUGCGAGCCGUGGGUGGUUCGUCCACCCGGCGGAAUGCUCAGUAACACGUGGCAAACCUUCCCUAUGGAUCGGGAUAACCCCGGGAAACUGGGGAUAAUCCCGAAUAGGAGAGGACAGCUGGAAUGCACCUCUCUGAAAUGUUCAGGCUCCAUAGGAUGGUGCUGCGGCCGAUUAGGUUGAUGGUGGAGUAAAAGCCCACCAUGCCGAUAAUCGGUACGGGCCCUGAGAGGGGGAGCCCGGAGACGGACUCUGAGACACGAGUCCGGGCCCUACGGGGCGCAGCAGGCGCGAAACCUUCGCAAUGCGUGAAAGCGUGACGAGGGGAUCCCAAGUGCCCUCGCACUGCGGGGGCUUUUCUGGAGUCUAGCGUGCUCUAGGUAAUAAGGGCUGGGAAAGACCGGUGCCAGCCGCCGCGGU
Molecule: ribosomal RNA, 445 nt
Filed under: uncultured archaeon
Lineage: Archaea
Description: bacterial SSU rRNA
Rfam family: Archaeal small subunit ribosomal RNA
Source: RNAcentral